Molecule: ribosomal RNA, 153 nt
Filed under: uncultured Tomentella
Lineage: Eukaryota; Fungi; Basidiomycota; Agaricomycetes; Thelephorales; Thelephoraceae
Description: 5.8S ribosomal RNA
Rfam family: 5.8S ribosomal RNA
About the family: 5.8S ribosomal RNA (5.8S rRNA) is a component of the large subunit of the eukaryotic ribosome. It is transcribed by RNA polymerase I as part of the 45S precursor that also contains 18S and 28S rRNA.
Source: RNAcentral
AACUUUCAGCAACGGAUCUCUUGGCUCUCGCAUCGAUGAAGAACGCAGCGAAAUGCGAUAAGUAAUGUGAAUUGCAGAAUUCAGUGAAUCAUCGAAUCUUUGAACGCACCUUGCGCCCUUUGGCUAUUCCGAAGGGCAUGCCUGUUUGAGUAU